Molecule: ribosomal RNA, 468 nt
Filed under: uncultured bacterium
Lineage: Bacteria
Description: partial 16S ribosomal RNA
Rfam family: Bacterial small subunit ribosomal RNA
Source: RNAcentral
GACGAACGCUGGCGGCGUGCUUAACACAUGCAAGUCGAACGGAAAGGCCCUGCUUGUUUGGGGUUCUCGAUGGGCGAACGGGUAAGUAAGACGUGAGUAACCUGCCCUAGACUUUGGGAUAGCUUCAGGUAACUGGGGCUAAUACCGUAUAGGAUCUCCCGUUGCAUGGUGGGGGUUGGAAAUUUUCGGCGGGAGGGGAUGGACUCGCGGCUUAUCGACUUGUUGGUUGGGUAGGUGCUUACCCAGGCAGUGACGGGUAGCCGGCACGAGAGGGUGAACGGCGACAUGACGCCUGAGAUACGGACCAGAGUCGUACAGGGGACAGCAGUGGGGAAUCUUGCACAAUGGGAGGAAGCCUGAUGAAGAAACCCCGCGGGCGGGAUGACGGUCUUCGGGUUGAAAAAAGCAUCAGCCUGUGACGACGCGUGACUGACGGUAAUGGGUAAAGAAGCACCGGCUAACUACGUG